Molecule: ribosomal RNA, 402 nt
Filed under: uncultured bacterium
Lineage: Bacteria
Description: bacterial SSU rRNA
Rfam family: Bacterial small subunit ribosomal RNA
Source: RNAcentral
GAAUAUUGGGCAAUGGGGGCAACCCUGACCCAGCAAUGCCGCGUGCAGGAGGAGGCCCUUCGGGGUGUAAACUGCUUUUGUGGGGGAGCAGACAAGGAGCGUACCCCACGAACAAGUCACGGCUAACUACGGUCCAGCAGCCGCGGUAAUACGUAGGUGGCGAACGUUAUCCGGAGUAACUGGGUGUAAAGGGUCCGUAGGCGGGAGGGCAAGUCCCGUGUGAAAGCGCCCGGCUCAACUGGGCGAGUGCGCUGGAAACUGCCCUUCUUGAAUCACGCAGAGGUCGGCGGAAUUCCCGGUGUAGUGGUGGAAUGCGUAGAGAUCGGGAGGAACCUCGAAAGCGAAGGCAGCCGACUGGGGGAUGAUUGACGCUGAGGGACGAAAGCGUGGGGAGCGAACAGG